CAGUAGCCGCGGUAAUACGUAGGGUGCAAGCGUUAAUCGGAAUUACUGGGCGUAAAGCGUGCGCAGGCGGUGUUGUAAGACUGAUGUGAAAUCCCCGGGCUCAACCUGGGAACUGCAUUGGUGACUGCAACGCUGGAGUGCGGCAGAGGGGGAUGGAAUUCCGCGUGUAGCAGUGAAAUGCGUAGAUAUGCGGAGGAACACCAGUGGCGAAGGCGGCUAACUGGUCCAUAACUGACGCUGAGGUGCGAAAGCGUGGGGAGCAAACAGGAUUAGAUACCCCAGUAGUCCCUGUCUCUUAUAC
Molecule: ribosomal RNA, 301 nt
Filed under: uncultured bacterium
Lineage: Bacteria
Description: partial 16S ribosomal RNA
Rfam family: Bacterial small subunit ribosomal RNA
Source: RNAcentral